GCGGGCGUAGUUCAGUGGUAGAAUGUCUCCUUCCCAAGGAGAAGAUCGCGAGUUCGAGUCUCGUCACCCGCU
Molecule: transfer RNA, 72 nt
Filed under: bacterium
Lineage: Bacteria
Description: tRNA-Gly
Rfam family: tRNA
About the family: Transfer RNA (tRNA) molecules are approximately 80 nucleotides in length. Their secondary structure includes four short double-helical elements and three loops (D, anti-codon, and T loops).
Source: RNAcentral